UUUGCACUAUGGUUCAGGUUACAGAUUUGAAGAAUUCACCUGGCCCGGGGAAGAAAGAACUCCGGCAAGCUACCAAACAGGCGCUUUCCCUUCUUCAAGAUAAUUACCCUGAAUUUGUUGCUAAACAGGUUUGUUGGUUACUUGUUAGUUAAGGAUUAAUGGAUGGAUGGAUGGAUGGAUGAUUAAUGGAUUGCAUCUAUCUUUGUUACUUACUGUGUAGAUCUUCAUCAAUGUUCCAUGGUGGUACCUUGCAUUCAACAAGAUGAUUGCACCCUUGUUUACACAAAGAACAAAGAGCAAGUUUGUCUU
This 309-nucleotide long non-coding RNA is filed under the name Zostera marina. RNAcentral describes it as "long non-coding RNA (ZMAR_LNC003651)". Lineage: Eukaryota; Viridiplantae; Streptophyta; Magnoliopsida; Alismatales; Zosteraceae. The record is from RNAcentral.